Molecule: long non-coding RNA, 2690 nt
Organism: Oxyura jamaicensis (ruddy duck)
Lineage: Eukaryota; Metazoa; Chordata; Aves; Anseriformes; Anatidae
Exons: 2
Source: RefSeq, a predicted model, not a curated record
CACUGUUAAACUAGUGGAACUUUUACAGUUAUGUGUGGUUUUAAAAUAACUGCUAAAAAUACAAAUAAAAAUGUUAACAUACCAUCCUCACCAUUUUGUUCCAUGCCCCAUUUGUUAGUACAUGAGUGCGAGAUUAAGAUUUACACCUAAAUUUCUAAUUUGCUAUAAUUAGUCAAAUUCUCUCCAAAGUAAUAAGAAGAGUUAGUACUAAUGCAUUAAGUAUUAUUAAAAAUAUCUGAUAAAAUAUGUGAAAUUUAUUUUUUUAUGUAAAUUUUGUCUUUUAAACUCACUGUUUAAUGUUUGGACCAUUUUAGAACACAUAGACACAUGCAUAUGUACAGAUUCACUCAUAUUGUUUCCUCAUCUGUAUGCCUAAAAAUUAAGUAUAUUAGUUAUGAUUAAAAAUAUUAUUCUAUAGAAACCAUAAGAUAUAUCUCAAAAGUUCUUUUAAAUUAUAUUUCAUGAUGUUACGAUAGUUUUAACAAUUUCACAGCUCUCUAAAACAAAGCACAUAAUAACUACUAUAUAGAAAUGUUGCAUGCUAUAUUUUAAGGGAAAAAUGCUGUAAAUAUAUACUCAUAAGAAAUAUAAAUAUACAGGUCUAUACAUACAUCUAUACAUACAUUUCUAUAUAUAUUGCAUUUUCUGUCAAGUAAGUGCAUGGUUUUACUCAGAUCAAUUUUUAACCCAUUUCUGAAGUAUCUCUUAAGUAGUGAGGCUGUCUCAGUUAUCAGUUCAAUCUUACAACUACAAUUAAAUUUAUUACAAAGACUGUUGUUGCAUAUUCAUAAAAGCAGUACCUGGAUGUCUAAUGGAGAAUCAUUCCAUUAAUGGCAGCCCCAGUAAAUCAUUCAUAAAAGCUAAUUCUGAUUCAGAAUAAUAUUUUUCUCCUGGUAGACUUGUUUAUAAUGAAAAAUCCUUGCAAUCUAUGAAAGAAAAUUCAAUAAAUCAUGUUGUGCUGCCAUAGAACAAACUGAGGAUCCUCCUGCAUGCAAGGUCAUCCUAAUGCUCUUUCCAUUUGGGGGGGUGGGGGUGGGGGGUGGUUUGCAUAUAUAAUGACUUUGUGACAGUGUUUCAAGACAGUCAAUUUUUUCUUCAUUUCUGCCAAGACCCGACUUCUGGGCAUGAGUUUUUUGGCAUUUGCUUAUAUAGACUUAAUAGGUACCUAACAUUGCAUUGCAGAUGUUUUAGUGUCUGAGAUGCCAUACAGAAUUCAGGCAUUCUGGGGAAGAUAGAAAAUCUUCACUUCUGCUAGUGAAAUCAGCAUGUUCACAGUACAAACACUUAUUUGAUUGAAAUGUUUUAUAGAUGAACGAUUUUUUCUUUCCUGUUUUUCUUAGCUGCUGCUGCUGACAUUAUGUAAGUGGUGUUUUAUUAGGCUGUCAUUAUGAGAAGUUUGCAGUUUGAGGAUCUGAGAGUGAAUUAUAAAUAUGAGUCAACAGCCUUAAUACUGUUGGAAAGAGAAGCUUCAGCCAUAUUUGGAAAAUGUGCUUCAAGGAUCUGAAUUUAAAAUCAUCAAGCUUUCUUCCUCUCCUGACUCCAUUAUUGAAGCCCUAGUGGUUCCUACUUGGAACCAAAAAGGAACUGCCUGCUAACUGUAGUGUAGACAUGUGUGAGAAGGUCCCAAGGUGCUAUGUCCUUGUCUAUGUAGAUCCCAGAUGGAGAGUCCAUCCCUCUCAUGCUUAGCCCAUUAAGUUCUUUCUCACUUUGGAGUUCACUGGUAUCCCCAUCAAGUGCCAGGACACAUCAUUGACUGAUUGUUAGUGCUUUCAAAGCACUGUGUCUGCAAAGACAAGGACCAGCUGGUCACUUUCAAGAAGAAGGAGACUCAGAAUGAUAACAAGUCUAGAAAGUAUCUUAAAAGAUACUGGUGGAAUGAACUGGAUUUAUUUAGUCUGGACAAGCCUGAAAGUCUAUGCAAAUGAUUGCUCAAAAAAAAACAAGGGCAAAAAACAACCCUUACUGAAGUGAUGGACUUAAAUUUCACAGAUUUACAUUAGAUCUUAGGAAAAACAACUUUAAGAGCUUAUAAAGCUGUCUAGGCAUCCAAAAUACCUUUCUUUGUGGUAAUAUAUUUGUUAUUUACCUUCCGCUCAUCAAAGAAUUAUUCAGAAAUCAACAGAAGAAAACCUGCACAAACUGAUUAUCUUUGGUGUUUUAAGGGGUAACAUCCAGGUAGAUCUCUUCAAUUUCAAGGAAUGGCCCAUAGAAUUGAUAUGUCUGAUUACAACUUCCUCCAGUUAGUCUGACUAGCUAUAAAAGAUUGCAAGCAUGAAGAAGUAGCAUCACACACUAGAAACAAAAUAUAUUUUUUUCUGUAGAUCAGACUACAGUCAGGCUGAAUUACUGUGCACAUCUGAACUACAGAUGCAGACAGCUGUAAAACUCUGUUUUCAUGCAAAUUAGAUGUUCCUGAAGACUACCAAUCUUGCAAGUUUCCAUCACAACCUUUCUCAAAUAGGGGAAGUUUGGAUACUCUGCAAGUAAAUUAGUACCAGUAUUCUUCUGUGCUAGGUAUCUGCCAAAUUCACUGCAUAGUUACUCCUAGAUGUCGUCUUGUAGAAAACACUGUGUCAUGCUGCCUAAAAAUAACCACUUCAUUUCUUUUCUUUGAAAUACCCUUAAAUUCAUUUAUCUUUAUAAUAUGCAUGAAAAAGAAGACAAAGACUAGGAAUUGCAAUCUAAAAAAA